GGCGUGUGCAGCUCGGGCUGGGCGAGCCGGUGGAGGCUCUGCCUGCUGCCUGGUUUCCCUCAUCCUGCCCUUUGGAAACACACUGGCCGAGGAGCUGGCUUUCGUUAGAGCCUAACGAGGUCAAUCCAGGGUAUGAGUCCACAGCUUCCACUCUACCUGAGUUACUUAAUACUGUUUCUAUUGAUAAGAGCCUGGAAAAUCAAUGCAGCGAUGAUGUCUGCUUGUUACUCAGUAAAUGGCCUUCCCUCCACCAAACCGAUCCAUUUUACAGGUUAAUGAAUUAUAAAGAGAAAGAUGCGUUUCAAAGGGUUCUUCUCCCAGGAGAGGAGGGGGAGAAUGAAAGCUGUCAUGGUCUUGGGGUGCUGCGGCAGGGCUGCUCUCCGGGCACUACAGCUGCAAACAAAACCUUCUUUCCCCCUUCAGGAAACCCAGGGGCUUUUCUUCUGCUUUGUUUGGACUUUUUUCUCUCUCUAUGUAAAGUUCCCCUUUUAUUUAGAGUCAAUACAAGAUUCUCUCAUCCCCACGGAGUUCUGAACACUGCCUGGCAGUCAGGGAUUGUGCCGAGCUCGAAAAAAGAAAUUAAAACUAGGUAUUGUGCACAGAAACUGUAAGUAGUUCCCCUAAGAAAAAUACCCCAGUGGAAGCAUAUUUAGGAGAGGAAUCAUGGGUAGUUCUGGGCCCCACAGCACAGGAAGGAUCAAAAGCUACUGGAGAGCGUCCAGAGAAGGGCACGGAGCUGGUGAGGCGUUUAGAGGGAAAGCUGUAUGAGGAGAGGCUAAAGUCACUAGGUCUGUUCAGCCCGGAGGAGACUGAUCGCUCUGCAGCUUCGUCACACACGGAGGAGCAGCACGAGUAGUGCAGGAGACAGGCAAAUGUGUUUCCAGUCUGUUGGCACCCAGGGAACAUGGGAAACAGCCACAACCAGGAAUGCCUGAAUCUGGAUGGACCCAAUGCUGUUGGUUUUGAACAGCCUUCUGAAUACCUGGAAAACCCAAAUGCAAGACAAGCACUGGUGGUAAGCUGAUCUUCCAGCAGACUGGCAGGGUUCUGUCCAGGAAAGCGAAUGGGAAAAUGGAGACAGAAUGAAGGGACAAAAAUAUAAUUAUUACCAAUACAGUUUCCCAGACAACACAUUCAGUCAAACAUGUUCUCAUUCCCUGAUGAGACUACAACUGAGCGCGGUUGUGCAGAUGAGCUGUUACAUGGGGACUGUGAGGACAAGCAUCCUCUCGAGGUGCAGGGUGAGAAGGCAGCGGCCAGCAGGCAGAUCCGUGUGGUGACUGCAGCGCAGCACCCUCGCUGCACCCCACUGCUUUUAGAGGGGUUCACCGGUGAUGGGGAGAAGUUGCUUUUAAUCAGCAAUUGUUAGCAAAUGCAAGAUCCCUGCUGAUCCAACACAUGGAUGAUUAACAGCCUGUCGCUAGCCAGGAAAAGCAGCUGAGGCACUGGAAUGCUCUGCUCAUCCAAACGGAGGGUGUUUUAGUACAGCUGAGAAUCACAGAAUCAUGGAAAGGUUUAGGUUGGAGGGGACCUCAAAGCCCGUCCUGUUCCAACCCCUGCCACAGACAGGGACACCUCCCACUGGAUCAGGAUGUCCUUUCAGCACUGGAAGCUGCUCUAAUGUCUCCCCGCAUCCUCCAGGCUGAACAACCUCAACUCCCUUAGCCUGUCCUCAUACUGGAGGUGCUCCAGCACUCGGAUCAUCUCCGUGGCCUUGUCUGGACUCACUUCAACAGCUUUGUGUCCAUCCUGUGCUGAGGAGUCCAAAACUGAAUGCAGGGGUCCGGGGGGUGGGCUCAUGAAAGCAGAGCAGAGGGGCAGAUUCCCCUGCCUCGACCUGCUGGUCCCACUUCUUCUGAUGCAGUGUGACCAAAACAAUAAUUGACACAUGAAUGCAAGAUCCACGGGCUGUGCCCAGGUGGCAAGUCAUGGGGAGGAUGCCAGGAGUGCUCCUGGAAAUCCCUACGAGAGCACAGGCGGAAAAGCAACACACUAGGAGUGUCCAGGGUCCUCCUGGCACGCAAAGCCAGCAGUGAGAAGAGCUGGGCAGUGAAUCUGCCCGCAGAAAAUUUAUUUACCCAGUGUUCAGACCAACACAGGAAAUCUGCAUUCAAGUUUCAUGUUUGAAUUCUUAACAGAGAGUGCAGAAGAGAAUGAGUAAAAUCACUGAGAGCCUGGCAAAAAAUACCCAAAGAGCUCCAUCUGUUUAGCUUACAGAGAAUACGGAGUGUUGCCUUUAUUAAGGUGCAUAAAUAUCUUUAUCGUAAGGAAAACACCUGAUGGCGAAAGGUUCUUUUAUCUAACAGAGAAAGGCAGAGAUAGCGCCGAUGGCUGAGAGUCAAAGCAUAGAAGCUGAGAUGAGAGAUGAGGCUCAUGGGGCUUAGAGCCACCUUGGGAUCUGGGCUCAAUGACUCCUCACCCUUAAAAGCCCUUUCUAAAUAAUUUGCCUUCCUGGAACGCUGGUUCCUGUAUCUGGGACCACCACGUCCCUGAGAUGGGUCCCCUCUCUUUGUUCUCACCCUGAAAACCAGAGAUUUGAUGAAUGUUCUCCUAAAAGCAGAUGGGAAAGAUGAAAGAGAGAGGAGUUUAAAAACGAGAUAAAGCAUUUGAAAGCAAAUAGCAAUUAACCUUCCUGUUCUGAAAGUCUGGCUUCCCAGAGCUCUGCCACGUGGCACCAGGGAGGGGGAGCACUGCGUGCCUCUGCUGCAGCGCAGCCAGGCUGGGGACACAGCACCGGCUGAGCCCCAUGGCUGGCGCAGCUCAGCUCCACAACAGCUCUGCUGCCGUGUGCCGGGAGCAGGGAGGGAUGCCACCUCCACGGCCCACAUCCCAGCUCCGUGAAGCCAGGGCGAUGGAGUGAGGAGGUUUUUGCCGGUGGGAUGGAGCAGAAUCCAGCAUAACCUGAUGGAGCUCCCCAGCCUGAGCAUGCAGGUGCUGUGGGGUCGCUGUGGCAGGAGGACAGGGGGUGCCAGCGCUGGCUGGGCCAUGCCCAGUUUGGGCUGCCAGAAAGGAGACGGUGGCACAGGUAUGCAGCGAGUGGUGGGGACAGGAGAAAGCAGGACCCUGCUGCAGGCAGGGCUGUUUCUCCUGCCUGGAAGCGCUCCCCUCCACACCCUUUCAUGCUGCAGCAUCUUGCAGGGAGGUGAACCACCCUGCCUGGGGAUGUGAGGUCCGCGUGCAUCUCCCAGCAGAACAGGAAGAUUGCAUUAUGCAGCGCCACAUUUAUUAGUCAGCUGAAACAACUGCAUUACUCUCUUGCAUAAUAAAUCCAUUCCUGUGCCAUCACAACACGGAGCAUCAGAUCUGCUUCAGCAGGGGCCACCGGGGCAGAGCAGCAAUCGCCAAUGUCUGAAGCCAGGAGUAACAGCAGGGUCCGAGAGCAAAGACCUACGUCCGCAGGGUCAGAAGCAGCCAGGGGCAUGGGAUGUCGACAGCAGGGACUCAGCACAGCCAGCCUGGCACAGAGCAGGGACAGCCACGAGGAUCAAGGCAACAGCCUCACGGAGCUCUUCCCUUCGGCACCAGGGGCAAUGACUGAGGCAGUCUCUUCUUCUCAGCUUCGACAAAGCUGCAAGUGAACUUGUGGACCCGCCAAGCCAUUAGCAAAGAUGUGCCCUGCUAGAGUGUAACAGGGCAGGGCCUGGUACAGGCAGUGGCACCUUCCUGGCACACAGCACCUCUGACCUGGGGGCAAGGUGGCACAGCUUGACCAUUAGAAAGGGCUUGUGCAAAGCCAAGGAACCUGAGAGAGCGAGCAAGACAGAGCAAAAGGUUCACCAGCGCAGGCUGCAUGCACAGAAGGGGCUCUGGAGGCAGGCAGGCAGCAGGCAGGGGCGUGAAGUCAGUAGGAAGCAGUGGGAUACGAGUGCUAUCUCGGUGCAUCGGUGGUGGGACCCUGAUCUCAGGGGCGCUCCCCAGGCUGGCGCCUCAGCAUGGCACGCAUCACCCGCUCCCACCUGCGUACUGGACACAGAUGGACCUGCAGCCAGGCUCCCUCUGCCCAGCAGCAACAGGGCAGCUGCAUGCCCCAGCCAGAGACAUUAGCAAUAUCUAGAGGAGCUGUCGGCAUCCCUCAGGAAAGGGAAUACUCAUAAAUAUGGAAUGGAAAACAGUGCAGUCCCUAGGAGCCGCAGCUCUGGAGAGCGGCGCAGCUUGUCACGGAGCCCAUUGCCAUGGUACCUGUCAGCAGCUCGCAGUAUUGUUUCACACGUCCUACUGCUCUGAAAGGAUCUUUUUUAAGAAGCACCAUUUUAAAACUGAGCAAUGGCGAGAAGUAUCUCACAGCCCCACCUCAGGUCUUAUAAACCCAGUGACCUAAGGGUGUGUUUAGUGACUUUUAUUAACUCAACACAUUCCAGAAUAUAAACCCGAGAGGUACUGACCAGCUGAACCUUACAAACGCUGCUACUUAUAUGUCAUCACAUUGCGGCCUCGGUUGCGAAUAGAUCCUUCUGACUUGGUUCCAGGCAAUCUGGAAGAUCUGUAACAGCAGCACAAUCAGCUUUUUACUCUAAGAAUGUCAGGUUUAUCACCAGAAAAGCAUUGCACUGUGGUGCUUACGCAUCCGCCACAUUUCCCUCUGUAUUGGGAAGAUCAUCUCCUCUUGCAUGAGGACAACAGGAACUUCAAAGAGAGUUUACAAUCACUGCCCAUAGCAGUUUUCCAUCAGCUUCUGAUGUCUUCUCCCAGUUAAGCCUUUCACUGUGGCAGCCUCUGCACCCAAGAGCCACUGGGCUCAGCCCCGCUCGGGGCAGUCGGAGGAGUAGAAUACUCAGGCAAGGACAUCCAGCCCUGUCUGCUGAGCCGGGAGCCAGGAAUGGUCGGUACACACUUCCAGAAAGGGCACAGCCCCUUCAGUCCCAGCAUCUUGAACUGCAAGGGAGUGCCAAUGGAAAAGACAGGGUUCCCAUGGGAACAGAAAGUGCUGACAUUUCUAAACUAAAAAAAGAAAAGAAGCAGCAAAGUAUGGGCUCAGCAGGACAGCACGGACAGGGAGUGUGGGUAUAUCACCCAUUCCACUCUUCUGUGCUUGAAGGUAAGCUGCUUUUAAAAUGAUUCACAUUUGGCCGCUGGCUGGGGUCACAGCCACGAUGCCAAGUUUGUUUGUCUGGGUUGGAGUUUUAACCCGGACCAAUUGUCUGCAAGAUUAAUUCUCACGCAGGGAUGCAUUGUGCAGCCUUUACCUGUAACCACAUUAAAGGAAACGAAGCGUCCACAUGAAACCAUGUGGAGGCAUUUCUUUCUCUCAUGUAAAAUGAUUGAGAUAAAUAAGGCAAAUUACUCUGCCACGGUGCUGAGCCAAAUAUUUUGCAACGGCCCAUCAAAUGCACUUGCUGCACGGUAAUUAAGUGCCCUUGCGUUUCAGAUGGGAAGAUCUUUAGCUGAGAGAGAUGUUUCACUCCCUGUCAGACCAACACAACGUUAGAAUUGAAUGGUGACUAAACCAAGGUGCUCCAUUGGACACCCAGCAAACACUCACGGAGCUGCCCCGGAUGCAGCCGGUCCCUCAGGGACUGGAAGAGGUGCUGCAAUCCUGGCUCUUCUGUACAGCACAAACAGCGUCACCAUUUAAAAAACUCACUUGCGGCAAAACGAAGAGCAGAAGUCAAUGAAGAAAUUGGCUGUUAGCUCCAGCUCGUUCUAAUCCCUAAAUACAGGAAGAAGUUUAAGAGAGCAGAGGGGAUGCCCCUCACCAAGGAGAAGACAGAGCUGGGAAUGCCUGGAAAGCAGCCUAAGAAGGGAAGAAAAACAAAAAGGAAUUAUCAAACGUUUCUGACCGAGUGAAUGAAAAUAGCAAAUGAUUAAUAUCAUCAUUUAGGAACAUCAAAAAAUGCCAGUUCUUGUGGGCAAGGACCAAUUUGAGAGGGAAGGUUGUGCGGCUGCCAGCAAGAAGAGAUACCUGCACAACCCGACGGCUCCACAAUGAACAGCCGCUUCCUCCAUUUAAACUCAGAACACCGAAAAAAUCUGCAUCAAAUUCACCCAUGGCAGAGGGGAUCCCCAGUAAAAGGUAUCCAACAAAUAGGUUACAUCUGUUACUUCGAAAGCAAGACCAGAAGUGGAGGCCAACAUCUCCAGGGGUUUUGAGCAAGGCAGCCUUAUCUUUUUUCUGUAACAUGGCCUAGAAGGCAUGACUGCGAGCACCCAGACUCACAGAGGGGUCCACAUGCAGCACCAGACCCGGCCUCAUCCUUCUCUGUGUUUUCAAGAUCGUUUUACACUUGGGAGCCCACCACAAAGCAUAAAGUUAGAUUUUUGCCUGCUUUUAUUAUUUUUAAUCUUCAGAGUCCAGCUGUCUUUCAGUCUCAAGCAUCACCUGAUAGUUACAAAUUUAAACACCUAAGGAGACGACAGUUGUGGUGAACAGCCACCCGAUGACCUGCAAGCAAUAAGGUGUCUGUGGGGUACAACAGAGACAGCAGCUUUCCAUCCAGAUGGGAUCCACCCAAGUGCACUCUGCAGAGAGCCAGCAGCCCACAAAUCCAGCUCUUGCCUCUGUCAGCUUCUUCUCUUUACACUCCUUUGCAUUGGCAUGGCCCCACUAUCAAAGAGCUCCAUGUCUGCUCUGGAGCAGACUCAGUCCAUCCAUUCUGUAAGCUCAAUGAAAUGCUGGACAAGAUCAUUGUGUGUCCUGUACCUGCACUCCCUGAUCGAGAGCCCCUCCCCAGCUUUCCUAGAGCCCCUUUCUGUACUGGAAGCUGCUCUAAGGUCUCCUCAGAGCCUUCUCUUCUCCAGGCUGAAUAACCCCAACUCUUCCAGCCUGUUCUCAUACGGGAGGUGCUCCAGCCCUCGCAUCAUCUUCAUGACCGCCUCUGGACUUGCUCCAACGACUCCAUGUCCUUAGUAUUGUUAGUCCCAUGACCUGACUGUUUCUGUGCCUGUCUACCUCGUCAGAGGAAAACUCAGACCCUGUGUUUUCAUUCCUGGCAUUCUCUCACCACCAUCCGGGGCUGUUCAUUGUGGUCCCAAAAUAUGAAAGUACUCAAAGCCCAAAAGGCUGGGACAAACCAUGUCUGCAAGUCAGAGCUGAGACUGGUGCAUGGAUUUGCCCUCAUGCACACAGAACCUGCAUACCAUGCAGAACCGCCGAAUGCCAUAAAUGCACCAUGACACAAUGGUGACAUCUGGGAGCUAUUUUUGUCAAAAGCACGCAGAUGACGUGACCCUGUCUACUCGAGACACACACUGGUUUGAUGCUCACAGCGCUCCACAGCCCAUCUUGAUACAGGAUCUUUAAAAAGCAACCAAGAUUUCAAGUUAAAUGUUAUCAUAGUGAUAGGUUUCUCAUUUAGGCACCAGCAGAGCUCCUGGCUCUGGUUACAGAUGGGGAUCAUGCUCUGGUUUAGCCUGAUCAGGACAUGGAGCAAGGUCAGUUUGGCCCAAUCCUUGUCUAUUACUUCUAUCGCCUCUCUCCCAAAGGCUGUGUGCUCAGUCACUGGCUCGUGCAUCGCUAAAACAAGUUCUCAUAACAGGAGCAGACAUGUCAGUAGGCUGUGGAAUAGAUUCAUUUGCCAAGGAAGCAAUCAGAAAUGAUAUGAGCUCAGCUCCUCACAGGAUCACCCCCGUGAAUAACAACUUCUUACUGUUCCCAGGAAAUAAUGGUGUUUAGACAAUAAAGGUUUAUCAGACACGCAAAGCAACACAGGUUUUCCUGCAAAGCUGAUCUUUACAGUCCCUUCCAACCCAAAUUCUAUGACUCUAUUAUUCUAAUGCACUGAGAAGUUCAGUUCAUCAAUGCUAGCACUGGCCAGGUAAGUGAGGCAGAGCCAGGUGGGGGGAAACGAGGAUCUACACAUGCAGGUAGAGGAGUGAAACAGGUCAUCACACUGGAGCUAAAUGAGGUGGGAGUCCUUAACAGUUCCUCUGAUAGAUUUGAUUGAGCCUUGCGAGUUAGUGCAGCGUAAGCACAGCAAAUUCUGAGCUAAUUCAGCCAACUACUAAAUACGGUGCUUAUAAUCCUCAGCACUGCUAAGUACUUCUCUAGACCAUAGCUGAAGAGCUCAGCAUUGGAUCCAACUCCUAACAAUAAGAUCCAACCCUACAGCACAAUAAGAUUCUGGAGGCACACAUGAGGUAUCAAGAGGCCGGCUGGCAGGCAACAUCCCAGGGGAGAACUGCAACCCCCUGGGUGCAGUCCACAGACUGAAUGCCACAUUUGGAGUUGCCUCUUCCAUCCUCUCCCAGAAGGCCUUCACAUCCCCAACGGGAUACAAUUAAUUAAGCUGACAUGGAAGAAUACAACCCUUCUUCAAAGGACCGGCAGAUUGUUCGGGGAUUUCUCCUGCAGUUGCACAGCUGCACUUGGGGGGGAAUAUGAAUAUUGGAAAAGGCAAAACAGGAAAAGGAAUAAAGCGUGACCAGCUCCUGCUUUGACUCUCACAAUGGGGAGCAGCCAGCUCCCGCUGCACACCGCAGGUAAACAAUACAGCCACCCAGGCAACAACUACAUGAGUGGCUGCACUCUUUAAAGGCUGGGCUGCAAACGAAUCAGAGAGUAAGAUACAAGGUUAAAAGCAGAUUGGUGUCUCAGGAUGAGAAGACGACCUUGCCCUGCGCACAGAGCUGGGCUCAGGCAUGGUCAAGGAGAGCCCCAGUAGCUUGGUCAUGGUCCCUGGCCACUCCAACCCUACCUGCUUAAUGGGAGACACCAGAAAUCCCCCAUACCACCAGAUGCAGUAUAUCUCAUAAAUACAACACAAUACAUGAGCAAUAUAAAUGUUAUCCUCAGGAUAUAUAUUGCAAGCUGGGGAGGAAGCCAUGGAAAGACAGGAAGCAAGUGGCACUGCUUGGGAGGAGAUGGGAAGGGACCAAAAGCCAGAGCUGCAGGACUACGGUCUGCAGUUUCUCCCUGUGUAAGUUUGGGACAGUGCUUCAAUGGCUUGCAUGGCAUAAAGGACAGUCUCCUUUUGGACCUGUCCUGAUUUGGAGCCUCCCAAUGGGCAGGACAAGCCAGCAGCUGCUCUGCCACUGGGCAGCCGUGCCAGAAGUACUGUUUUAACUUCUCUCUAAAUCACUAUUUAAUCCAAGUUGAAUGGUGUAAAGCAUGGUGGCAGACGGAGCAAAGGCACCUCCCCGUGGGUACAGCUCUGCCCGGGCCUCCGGCAGCUCAGUCUGAGAGAUGAGGCCAGUAUGUAAUGGAAAAACUGUCCUGAAUUAGCAGGGCAAUGGAGAAAUUGGUGUGCGCUCUGAAGCCUGAAGGCCAGCCAUAACGCGUCCUUCACCCUUCCUGACUCUCUUUAUUAACUGCUUCACAGGUGGUGGGCGCUUAGGUUUGGAGAGAGUAGGGCAACAGGAGAAGACUUGGGUGCUAACAGGUCAGAAAGUGCGCUCACGUUCAGGAGCAGCUUCCAUCUGUAUUUAUAAAACCCAGCAGCUCUGGGGGUGACUGCAUGGUUUGCUGAGUGUCAUCUCCUCUUGGCUGCCUGCACUUCACUCUUCCCUUUGUCCACACCAGGAUUAUAGAAUCAUAGAACGUUCUGAGUUGGAAGGGGCCCACAAGGGCUAUUGACUCCAACUCCUGUCCCUGCACAGGACAACCCCAACAUUCACACCAUGGGGCUGAGGGCCUUGGCCAAAUGCUUCUGGAAUAUUGUUGGGCUUGGUGCUGUGACUGCUUCCCUGGGGAGCUGUUCCAGUGCUCCACCAUCCUCUGGGUGAAGAACCUUUCUCUAAUGUCCAACCUAACCCUCCCCUGGCACAUCGUUCUGCUAUUUCCUCGGUCCACAAAGAAGAGUUCAGCACCUGCUCCCCCUUCUCCUCCCCGUGUGACAAAGCUGCAGACUGUGAUGAGGUCUCCCCUCAGUCUCCUCCCUCCAAGCUGAACAGACCAAGUCACUUCAACCGCUCCUCAAACCCUUCCCCUCUAAACCCUUCACCAGCUCCAUGCCCUCCUCUGGAUGUUCUCCAGUAGUUUUAGAUCCUUUUUAACCUGUGGCACCCAGAACUGCACCCAGUGCUCAAGGUGGGGCCACCCCAGUGUGGAGAAGAGUGAGACAGUUGCCUCCCUUGUCCGGCUGAUGAUGUUGUACUGGAUGCACCCAGGACAUGGUUGCUCUGUUGGCUUCCAGGGCACUGCUGCCUUGCGUUCAACUUGCCGUCGACCAGAACCCCCAGAUCCCUUUCCGCAGGGUCCUUGGUGUCUGUUCUUCGGCUGCAGAUGCCUUUGGUGCUGCACAGGACCACCCAAGACACAGCUGAUCGCAGUGGCACCGUGCACACAGCUGUGCCUCCGUGAAGCCUGCUGCACUUCUUCAUCCAUCCUGAGCACUCUGACACUGUUAAAGUGAAGGGUUUGUUAUUAAAUCCCAGCCACUCUGGAGUAACUGAAUUAUCCAGGUUUGAGUUGAACCAAUUAACUGAUAUAAAACAUGACUCUUGCUUUCCUAAAUGAAGAGAAUUAUCUUGCUUUCUGCUCAUGUCUCACUGUGAAAGCGAUGUUUCAAACACUUCAACCUUUUUGAGACUGGUUGUCUCUUGAAGGAGCUCAGGUGUCGAGAACUGGAUGAUGCUCUGUGUGGUGCUAACCAAAAGAAGUCUCUAGGGCUGUGAGGAAGAGGGGGGCUUGGAAAAACAUCUUGCUUAGGAUGCACCAGUUUAAAGUCAGGGAGGUCUUGCUGGUUGACCUACUGUUCUGCUAAAACACAUCUGGGAAGGUGAAGUAAUCAGGAAGAACCACAUUCCUUCUCCAGAGAGCAAGGCUAAAUAAAAGGACCGAGACCACGGAAAACCAGCUACAACAGGGAUGUCAAGGCUGGACAUACACAGACUGGCCCCAGCACUUCCUGAUCCCAAAUGCCUCACUGUGGAAAUACAGCAUUCCCUCUGCUAAACAGCCCCUUCAGAAGUUUCACCAUUCUGUUGGGAUGCAGCAUGAAAGGAGGGUUGUGACCAUCAGCUCUUCGGCGCAGAGGGAGAUUUCAAACAGAGACCGGAACGUGCCCAGCGCAGAGACUGACACUGCAAGAGCAGGUAGGAGAGUCCCUGAGUGCAAUGUGAACCACCCCCAUGGCAAUGCCCGUGGACGCAUUCAUUAUGGGAAAUGGCAAGAGCAGAGACCUUGAUGAGCUCCCUGUGAACAGAACAGCCACCACAUCAUCUCUGCGAUGGACCUGAAGGUACCACCCAGUUACAAAGGGGAAGUAAUUGCACUGGCCUAUCCAGGCACAACAAGAAGGAACACAGGUUAGAGUGGUGUGUGGUAAAUAAACACUGUAUUUAAUGUAAAUUAUCCUGCAGUGUUUCUAUCCAGAAAUCAGCAGUGAAUCAGAGGGAAGCAGCACGGAUCAGUUCUGAUUGGCCCUUGCAAUGUUACUAUAAAAUAAAGGAUGAGAUAUUCUAAAUUAUGCUUUUAAUGAAAGAAAUAAAAAAGGAAGCAGGUUAAAUCACGCAUUACUGUGUUUACAAACAUGAUACUGAAUCUUACCACCUACACACUUCAGAUGAUUUUAAAUUAGGACAAAAAUAGAGGAGUGCUUUUCUUUAUGGUGGCAUCUGAACUCCGUUGGUUAUGCCCUGGGGGUAGGCACUGACUUGCACGGAAGUCCCUCUGCUGGGCACCUCGGCCCACGGUGGCUGGGGUAACACACGUGCCAGGUUGGGAUGAGGUCACAGGAGUCCUGGUGGCACUGCUCCCCUUUGCCCAGGACAUCCCCACCCAGUCCAUCUGUCCCUUCCACUCUGGCUUUCAAUAGGAAACAGGCAAACAGUGCCCCACACGACGGCGCUGUCCAGUGUGGUCUCUGCACCCCACAAACAGCACUCUCACUGGGCAAGGACACGGGCAAUAGCGCCCAGGGCCACUCUCCAUGGGCAGCAGAAAAGAACCAGCCCCUCUGGCAGGCUGCAGAAGGCAAGAGGAGCAAGAAGUCUGCAGCAUCUUCUCUUCCACAGGGCAGCCAGCCCUUCUGCUACGCCAUGGCCACGCAGAGGCAGCCUGGCUGACACAGCUCAGGCCAGGGAGGACCACAAGACAUCAGUGGAUGCCAGCCCAGGCAUGGGGCUUUGGAGGACACAAUGUACAUGUGGUUCCCUUGGCCAUCCAAGGUUGCGGUCCUGACAAUCUGAAUUGACACUGAGGCUGAGGGCACUUUGCUCCCUAAGCCCACCAGCCAGAUGGGUUCUCAGACAGGAUUUCACUCCCUGCUCAAGCCCGUCCCACCUGACGACUUGCAGGGUGGAAGAGGAAAGGAGAGAGGCAUGACACCCCAAACAUAGACAGAAUUUGCGCUCCCUUGGUUUUUGGAGACUCAAGCUAGAUGAGGGAUGAGAUGAGGGCAUUGAGGGCAUCUUAGUUUCUCAGCUGCUGCAUAAGCAGAUUAACUUCGCGUGCAGCUGAUCCAUGGAAAAAUAGAUCAGCAAGAGUCCCUGACAAAGACAGAUUUCUGCUCGACUCACAUUCUGCUUGCUCACAGCAAACACCCUGGGUGAUGUUAUUUACGUGACCUAUCUUCUCUUCUGACUAGCAUCACUUUUUACUGCUCAAACUCCAGCCUGGGUCACAGCUACCCCAUUAAAUCAGGCCCAUUGCUGAAGCUAUCCUCACAGUCAUUUUUCCUCAUGAUCUCCCUGUUCCCUCAGGAAUGCUCCUGAAGCCAACCACAGUCCACUGGGAAAAGAAUUUAGAAAACAGAAAAGUAAACUAAUUGCUAUGAAAAGCUCCAUCACUUUUUCUCAUCAGAAGAACAAGAACUGAGCUUCUAAUGUGCCCUCCAAGAAGGAGGGAGCGAGGUUAGGAGGCACCAGCCCUGCUCUGCUCUGCUCUCAGGGAGAGCGAAGCUGAGUCUCAAAGAGGCUGCUCCUGCCUUUCCCAGUCAGCAAGUAGUGUGCUCCACUGGAAACUCAUGUAUCCCCUCCAAUCCAAACCAUUCUGUGAUUCUAUGAUUAGAUAAACGUUUUUUAAAAAAUUAAGUGACAAGAGGGAAACUGGCCCUUAAACAAGGAGCAACAAAAAAACUGACGUGGAUUAUGCAGCAGAGGACAACGAGCAAAGACGAGGAAGAAUGAUAUUUGCAGUGGUAAGAAAAUGUGAAUUUUCUCUGGAAGCAUUAUUUAAGUGGUUUGUAGCCUAAUUUAGCACAUCAAAGACUUUAUUUUUGCUGGACCGCCAUGGUACUUGAGGCUGGCUCAAACUUCCAAGGACGCAAGCACUUCCCUGGACUCAAUGGAACCAUCCACUCUCAAAAGCGUAUCACAUUUCUGACCUGUGUCAGCUUUUCAUUCACCUGCUCAAUAUCCUUUCUGCCUUUGGGAGAGCACCUACACACGGUCUGCUUCCAUUUCCCUUAAGAUCAGAGACCAGGAUUUCACUGCAGUGUUUUAUGGUUAGCAGGCCUGGAAGGGGCUUGGGAAGUCACCUCACCCACCUAAAGGUCUGUGUCUUGCAGUCUUACUAAGGAAAGACUCCAGUACCUCCAGGUUUUGAAGCUCCCGUAAACCAUACUCACUUCAUCCAGAUCCAGAAACAACAGUGAGCUGAGAGAUUGCUGCAAGGCUUCCCCUUCCCUCCCCCUUCCUUGCUCAGAGAUCUGGUUUAGUAGUGGACACGUACAGUUGGACUCAAUGAUCUCAAAGGACUUUACAACCAAAUGAUUCUCUUUGUGGUGCUCGCCACUCUCUGGAAGGUUCCAGACCAGAGAGGGCCUGGGAUGAUGGCCCUAUAUUAUGUGAUGAGCAUAACGGGAGUGGGGCUGAGUACAGCUCUGUGCGGGAAGGCAACAAAUACCCACCACUGCCUGACAUUUAAAUUGUAUUAGAGACGCGCACUUUUCCUAUAAUUGAAAAUACAUUAAUGCACAACACAUAGGGACGGCUCUCCUGGUCCUCAGCUCAAUAAGCUGUCACUUUUCCUACACUGACAUUAGCACAACAGAGAAAACCUGCCAAAAUUCUCAUCAGUACUGAUCGUUAACACCCUGUUUUUUCUACUGUAAAGGAAAAAAUAAACACAUGAGGUGUAACAAAAGGCGCUUUCCCAUCCACAGGUUGUAACAAUCAUUCGCUUUCCUUUUUGUUUAUGAACAAGGAAUUGGAUUUACAAUGUGAGCACUAAAGCAUGUUUCAAGGGCAGGCCAGGGUGUGACACACACACAGCAACAAGCUCUGAUGCUUGGUUUGUGGCUUUCUUACUCUACAAGAAAAACCCAAAGCCAUCUGAACCUGGAAUUUUAACUGCAAACUGAAUUGAAGUGCACAAGUUGGUUUGCCAAGGCAGUGCUAUUCCUGCACUCAGAUACACAAAUCAUAAUCACCUGCCUGCAACAAACAACAGUGUUUCAGAGCCCUUCCCCUGGAAUUGCCAUUUCCAAUUGCUUCCAGAGCAGCAGCAGCUGUUUGUGUGUGAGGUGGGAAAGCAGAAUCCGCCAGACUCCAGAACCGCUCCUUAUAGCCCAGCAUGUGCUUAUUGCAUCUCGUAAUCCUUAAUAAGCAUUUGGCCUUAAUUGCUGAUUUUAUCUUACCCAGUACUUAUGCCAUAAUUGAUGACCAUUGUUUGCAGCAGUUUUAUAGCUCCUCAAUCCAGACAGAAAACCUCGCUCCAGUGCCUGCACAAUCGGAUUUCUCCACAUCCAAGCGGGCAGCAAGGUGCCUGGCACCAUCUAGUGCUGGGUUGCUGUGGCAGAGCCCCCCACUGUGGAGAUGAAGGUGUCCCACCACACCUUGGAGAUGGGAUUGUGCAGCCUGGAGAGGAGAAGGCUCCAGGGAGACCUUAGAGCAGCCUUGAAACCUGUCAGAGCAAACCUCCCUCAAGCUAGAGAAGCCUUUUCUUUGUCCCACAAAAUCUCACUUAUAUUUAGCAGAGUUACAUUGAAGUUAUUAUUUUCCUUCUCUGCUUGUGUUCCCCAGCAACAAAACAAGAGUAAUUGAAUAAGAAUGGUUUGUGAAACCAAAACCAUGCUGUAAGACAAGGGAAUUGCACCACCACUGUGGUAAAAUCCCAUCUUCACUCUUGCUGAGCCACAGCUCCUCCUUCUUCACCGAGCCUGUAACCUUUUCACUCUCACCACAGCGCAUUCCCAAACCUUUCCACGUGGCCCAGGGGCCAUAGACACACCAUCGUCAAGGGGAUUUAUUCUCCUCCGGGCUGCCUGCAGGAUUUACAGCCACCUCUCCUUCUCCUGCGCUGGGCACAGAGUGGCACUCCCUUCCAAAAGCCUCCUAAGCACAGGAGGGAGCAGCAACAAGCACUGGAUUGGGACACAGCCUGUCAUUUACCCUGUAAGGGCCAUUGGAAUCUCACCCGUGGGACCUGCUCCCGCUGUGCACCGCAGUGCACCCCCGGCUGCUUUCAACAAUGGCUGCUACACCAACCUGGCUGCACCUCUGCUCCUCUAAAGUUCAUCUCCCUCCAGGGAAGUCUGCAGCAAUGCUUUCCCCUUUCUGUAUCUCCUCCUGCUCAAAGGGAAAAGGGGUCGUUUUGUGUCUCAGCACCUGCUCUAUGUGUGCCCAACUCAGUUUGCAUCUCCCAGGAGCUUCUCCGGAAGGGCCCAAUGGACCUGGAGCUCGGGUACAAAACCAUUUCCAGUGCAACCUCUGCUCCUCACUUCCUACACAGAGCUCUUGGGGGUUAUUUUGCCAACUGGAAGCUGAUAUCAACGCUCUGCCUUUUCCAUGAUUAUUCACACUAACCUAUUGGAGUUCCUGCCAACAUCUGUUGUUUUUAUCUUUGCUGCAAAUGUCAUUUGCCAUUUUGGGAAUUCCACAGGCCCCUUGGAGCAGCAUAGAGCUGUGACUGCUUCUAUUAAAAAAGAAAACAAACUUCCAUGCUCAGAAAUGCUGUUCAGAGAAAACAUCUUUUUUCAAAAUGCCAGAGCCUGCCCUGAACCUCCCAAGCUGCCUCUCACGAACAGACGUGCUUCCCAUUCCCACCCUGGCCAGGAGCUUCCAGCCAAACACCAUUCCCUGGAUACAGCUUUCCCUCCAACCUCCACCCUGCAGAGCGCUUCCUCUGGAACAACACAAGGAAAGCAGCAUCCGAGCUUCCCAGCUUCCCGAGGGUAGCAGAAAAAUGGGAGCCAGUUGUGAUCUUAACAAGACAGAGCAUUUCAUCCUUAGAAGACAUUAAGUCUCUUCCAAGGCAGAUGCUGUUAAUAAACCUCAGAACAUUGUUUAAUCUGUCUUCUCAUUGUAAUGAACUCUGAUAAAACCUCCAAAAAGCACACGCAUCUGGUGGCAAGGAGUACAAGCAAAACAAUGUGAACAGAAGCACAUCAUGGCAUAAUUUCAGUUCCAUAUUCGGAAUGUUUUCAAAAAAUACAAACUUGUAAUAUAGGCUAAAAAAGGCUUUAUUCUGCUCAGCUGGAAGGAAACAGGAUAUUGGAAUAUUAUGUACUGUUAAAUCACUCAUUUUCUGUAAUGCUGAAUGGAUCAUUAAAUCGGUGUGUUGUCUUACGCAGUAUUCACAAUUCUAUGUCUAAUUAUAGCAAAAAUUUAACCCUACAGUGGUAUUUCCACUAUUUAAAGAGGAAGAAAACCUGGCAUGGGUCAGAGCCAUCCCCUAGCCAAGAAACACAACAUGCAGUGCCAGAGGCAAUUCAGCAUAGGACUGCUUCCUCAGGGGUUACCUCAUGAACAGAAGAAUAACUCAGGCAGGUGAAAACAGCUCCAGACCUUGCGUCAUGGCUGGACCCAAGGUACUGCAGGGAAGAGGGGAUGGAAAUAGAUGCCAAACCCACCAAGGCAGCCCUGGGAGAGGCUCCUCGAUGCCACCUCACACACCCUGCUCACCGAGUGAGUGAGCAGCUCUUCCCCAGGCUCGGAAUCCCACAUCUCAUUCUCCAACGUACUUCAUUAGAACUACUUCCUUCCCAAAUGUCCAAUUAUUACAUUUUAUAGUGGUUUUCCUCUUGACUUAAAUCAUGCACAACAAAUAAUCACACAGAUCUACAUUUAUUUCCAAGUAGAGAGGAGCAGAUCCUUAGGAAUGGAAGCACACAGCAACCCUAUGCCUCACGUCCUCUCUGGGCAGCCUGGGUUAGAAACAUGGCUUAAAUCUCAAGUCUGCAUCCAGAAGUCCUUGGGGAGUUCUUCCUCUACUGAUUUACCUACUGCCUUCUUAAAUUCAUUCAUACUUUUGACCUCCACAACACAACAGCAGUGAUACAUGAUUUAAUUGUGCAGUGUGUGGAAAAAGAAAGUCCUUGUCUUUAAUUGUGCUGCCAAGUAACUUCACCCGGUGUCCGUUAGUUGCACUGCCAACAGGAAUACUAAAUAACCUUUCCUAUUCCGCGUCUCCACACUGAUUGUUUUAUACACCAUUACCACAGUCCUUCUCCCUGUCCUCCUUCCCAAACUCCCUUGCCAUCUUCUCAAACAAAAGCCCUCCCACACUCUCAAUCACCCCUCAUUUCAUCAACUUUUUAUAAGCUUGGGAUCCAAACUGCAGUGUUCAAGCUGUGGAAGAGCUGGGAAAAUUCCUACCCUGGCAGUGUCUUCUCUUUGGUUCUUGAUUUGUGCCUUGUUGAUUCCCAGCUUUUACUGGGCCAGUUCCCAGCCCCCUUUCCUAACACCCACGAGGAUAACGGGGACAUGUUCAGAGGGCAUGAAGAGCCCACUGGGUAGGUUAGGGUAAUUUGCUUUCUCCUGCAGGUGUUACUUGACAUUUACUGAAAUGGAAUUCCUCUGCUGCUCACUCACCCGGUGUAAUGAAACCUGGUAACCCUUCCCAGUUUGUGUCACUUUCGGUUAUCACGAAAAACGACAACAGCCCUUCCAAAAAUCACCUUGCCUUGUCAUUUUCUUCUUCAGAUUAGGGACUUCGAGUACAUGGGAAAAGGCCACAAAUAGCCACAUCCUUAGGAAAGAAGUGACUUUCUCCAUUCUUCCCAGUUUUUACCAGAUUGCUAAUCCAUAAGAAAACUUUUCCUCUUACUUUACAGCUUAAUGGUUCAAGAACUUUCAGCAAGGGCUGAAAGAGGUGAUUCUGCCCUUCUAUUCCUCUCUUGUGAGACCUCAUCUGGAGUAUUGUGGCCAGUUCUGGAAUCCUCAAUGUAAGGACACGGAACUGUUAGAACGGGUCCAGAGGAGGCUACAAGGAUGAUCAGAGGGCUGGAGCACCUCCCAUACAAGGACAGGCUGAGAGAGUUGGGGUUGUUCUACCUGGAGAAGAGAAUGGUCCAAGGAGAUCUCAAAGUGACCUUCCAGUACCUGAAGGUGCUACAGGAAAGCUGGGGAGGGACUGUUUACAAAGGCUUGUAAUGAUAGGAUGAGGGGCAAUGGGUAUAAACUGGAGAGGAGCAGAUUUAGGCUUGACAUAAGGAAGAAAUUCUUCACUAUGAGAGUGGGGAGGCCCUGGCCCAGGCUGCCCAGGGAAGCUGUGGCUGCCCCAUCCCUGGAGGUGUUCAAGGCCAGGUUGGAUGGGCCUUGGGCAGCCUGAGCCAGUGGGAGGUGUCCCUGCCCAUGGCAGGGGGUUGAAACUAGAUGAUCUUUAAGGUCCCUUCCAACCCUAACCGUUCUAUGAUUCUAAGGGCCUUUCUUAAAAGCCCAAGUGUGUUAUGACAACCAAAUCAACUCCAGCAUUUGCCUUUUGACUCCUUCAGCAAUCCCUAGUGAGAUCUAGAGAACUGACCUUCCUCUGAAGAGCUGUGUCGACUCUUUCCAAACAUACCACCAUAUCCAUGAAUCGGCUCCAUCCGGCCCUCGCAGCCCAGCUCAGCUCAGCUCAGCCUGCCUAAACAGGCUUCUCUCUGGAAGUGCUUCAGGUCUCUCCUGGAGGACACCAGUUACCUGGUGACAGUGCCCUGUCACCCUGCUGGCACCACUGCCAGUAGCUGGGUAAUGCCUUGUCUGAGUUCCUUUAAAGUCUCAUGUUCUGGUCCCAAAGAUCUCAUCAGUCACUCCAAACCUUUAACUCCUUUGGCAUCUCCAGUCCCUCCAACAUACACACACAUCUAGAGCAGGCGCUCUCUGAGGAGAACCUUCUGCAGUGAACAGCAAUGCAGCAUCUUUUCUGCUGCAGCCUCAAUACUCCCUGAUCCCUUCUUUUCACAUCUGCCAAAGCUGCUCUGGUUGGCAAGGGAUCCAAUUUUGAUCCUAGCACAUGGGAAGAUUUUUGACAUCUUCAUCAAGCUUCUCUUCGAGACUGUUCUAGUGGCCAAAGGGCUGUUCCACAUUGACCUUGACAGACUGCCUUUCCUGUUGCCUUUUUUCAGACACAGCCUCUGUUCCCUGUGAAGAUGGCUUUUUGGUUAAACGGCUCCUCCAACUCUGUUAAAGCACAUCACUAUCUGGGUUUUGAUAAGCUCCCUACCCCUGGGCUGCGCUUCCAAUACUCUGCCUUAAAACAACUGCAACAUCACUUCAACAGGAAGAUCUAGAAGCACGUACAGUUUCAUACAUGUCCCAACAAAUUUCCUUCUUUGCAUCCUCCAGCCUCUCCAAGAUCCGUACAAUGUUUAAAACUCAGUUCUUGCAUUGUGUUCUACAAUGACAACCACACAACACACACAAGACCAGGGCUCUUUCCAUUAAUGCUGUACCAUGGGGAGGUCAGGAGCCAGGGAAGCCCAGACAAAUCACUGUGAAGGACCAGCCAAGAUCCUGGUCAGAGGCUGAGCUGGAGAUGUCAAGACAAGUUAAUUCCAAUACACAACACAAGGUUACAGUCAGAAGCUCUGUAAAAGGAAGUAGGAACACAGCCUUUCCAACCAGGAAAAUAGACCAGGACUGGAUCACAGCUGGAAUGGCAAAUUAACGGAAAGAAAACAGCCUGGUGUUGCCUCACCACCAAAUUGUAACCAUAAAAACCUAAAGGUAACCAAAGGUAACCACAAAAACCAUGCACGUGCCAGCUCCUGCCCGGGCUGGCACCACUCCCUGCUGCAAGGGAGAUGCUUUGCUAGCAGCUACAGAGAUGGGAGCUCACAUAAAGUGAAGAGAAAGGGCUUAAAUCAGAGAGAGGGAAAUAUCACAGAGCACAACCCAAGGAGAUUUCUGAAACCCAAGUACAGUUCUGAGCUUAGUUUUGUGCUGUUUAUACUGUAUUUACACAAUUUAGGCAAAUGUUUCAUUUCUUACUGUGCUCAGGUUUGCACAGACCAAGUGCCUCUGGAUAGAACAAGCUCAUGAAAGCGGACUGAGAAACCUGGAACUACUACUUCAGCUUCAGUGAAGUAAAAUCUACAACACCAGCCUGAGAACGUGAAUCUGCACCGCCACCUGCAGCAAGCAGACUGGCAAACUGGCCACCAGUGCAGCGGCAACUAAAAGUGCUAAAAUGCAAAUACUGGUAUGCAAGUAUGGUACAGAAUCAGGUAGAAAACAGACAGGAGCAUGUGUGCCAUGACACUAGUCACAGCAGGCAGAUUCCGCACAACACAACGCUAGUUAUCUUGGGAAACUGAAGCAUUCCACGCUUCAUUCCCUCGGUGUCACUGUUUCCACCUUUUAAGAGGAAAACCAAUCCCUUUCUAUUUCUCCCACAUACUUUCAACACCGCUUUGCAACCUGCAGGUAAGGUGAUUGCAUCACACACAUGCUGUAAACAGGAGCUCGCUCCAAACCCUCUCUCCCGCCUGAGGUGCUUGGCCCCAGGAGGCAGAAAACCCUGUCCCUGUCAGUACCCGACUCUGUUGUGAGCUGCCUCCCCUCCCCCAUGAGGCAGAACUUUGCACUUGGCCUUGUUGAACGCCGUAAGGUUUUCACAAGCCCAUUUCUCCAGCUCUUUCAGGUCCCCUCGGAUCCAUCCCCUCCCUCUGGAUCCAGCCUUCCCCUCAGGGCUAUCCCCCUCACCAUUCAGCUGUGAUC
Molecule: long non-coding RNA, 20736 nt
Organism: Cuculus canorus (common cuckoo)
Lineage: Eukaryota; Metazoa; Chordata; Aves; Cuculiformes; Cuculidae
Exons: 3
Source: RefSeq, a predicted model, not a curated record